RNAcentral lists this unclassified non-coding RNA (464 nucleotides) under Hevea brasiliensis (rubber tree). The record is from RNAcentral. Lineage: Eukaryota; Viridiplantae; Streptophyta; Magnoliopsida; Malpighiales; Euphorbiaceae.
UUUUUUUUUUUUUUUCAAUACUUAAAAAACCUGCUAUUCUAAUAAAUAAGCUGUUUCCUCAAUAUUUCCAGAGGUAUGUGCUCCACUUACUCAUCUUUCUUCCUCUUCACACAGAAAUAUAUACACAAGCAAAAUUUGUAUGUAAGUACAUAAAUGUAAUGUGUGUGUGCAGAUCGUAAGCCCAAAGAAUGCCCCUUUAUGCACAGAUCAAGUUCCAAAUCCAUACAAUGCAAAAUGCAUUGAAUUAAGUUUGUUCACCUGUUCGUUAGAGAAGACAAAUAAUGCAGUCAACUACCAUAUCAGCAACAAAUUAAUAUAACUAUUUAAUUCUAUGCGAGUGUGACUAGUCCCAGAAAGAAAAAUGUCGCAACGUAUUUUGCGGUUGCCAGGCAAUUCACACCGAAGUGGAAAGGUGAGGAGUCGCCACUCUAAUUUUUGCAGGAAAAAUAGAGAAAACCUUUUAU